GGUCCCUUAGCUCAGCUGGAUAGAGCACCGGCCUUCUAAGCCGACGGUCGCAGGUUCGAAUCCUGCAGGGAUCG
RNAcentral lists this transfer RNA (74 nucleotides) under Pseudovibrio denitrificans. RNAcentral's name for it is "tRNA_Arg_TCT". It matches the Rfam family "tRNA". From Rfam's summary of the family: Transfer RNA (tRNA) molecules are approximately 80 nucleotides in length. Their secondary structure includes four short double-helical elements and three loops (D, anti-codon, and T loops). Lineage: Bacteria; Pseudomonadati; Pseudomonadota; Alphaproteobacteria; Hyphomicrobiales; Stappiaceae. The record is from RNAcentral.